CCUACGGGAGGCUGCAGUGAGGAAUAUUGGUCAAUGGACGAGAGUCUGAACCAGCCAAGUAGCGUGAAGGAUGACUGCCCUAUGGGUUGUAAACUGCUUUUAUACGGGAAUAACGCGCCUUACGUGUAGGGCUUUGCAUGUACCGUAUGAAUAAGGACCGGCUAAUUCCGUGCCAGCAGCCGCGGUAAUACGGAAGGUCCGGGCGUUAUCCGGAUUUAUUGGGUUUAAAGGGAGCGUAGGCCGCAUGUCAAGCGUGCUGUGAAAUGUCCGGGCUCAACCCGGGCCUUGCAGCGCGAACUGGCGGGCUUGAGUCCGCGGAAGGCAGGCGGAAUUCGUCGUGUAGCGGUGAAAUGCUUAGAUAUGACGAAGAACCCCGAUUGCGAAGGCAGCUUGCUGCAGCGGAACUGACGCUGAUGCUCGAAAGCGCGGGUAUCGAACAGGAUUAGAUACCCCAGUAGUC
RNAcentral lists this ribosomal RNA (460 nucleotides) under uncultured bacterium. RNAcentral's name for it is "partial 16S ribosomal RNA". It matches the Rfam family "Bacterial small subunit ribosomal RNA", at positions 338 to 795 of the family's 1533-position model. The record is from RNAcentral.